Molecule: ribosomal RNA, 253 nt
Filed under: uncultured bacterium
Lineage: Bacteria
Description: partial 16S ribosomal RNA
Rfam family: Bacterial small subunit ribosomal RNA
Source: RNAcentral
UACAUGGGGUGCAAACGUUGCUCGGAAUUAUUGGGCGUAAAGCGCACGUAGGCGGUUCGUUAAGUCGGAUGUGAAAGCCCUCGGCUCAACUGAGGAAGUGCACCCGAAACUGGCGAGCUUGAGUACGAAAGAGGAUCGCGGAAUUCCCGGUGUAGAGGUGAAAUUCGUAGAUAUCGGGAGGAACACCGGUGGCGAAGGCGGCGAUCUGGGUCGAUACUGACGCUGAGGUGCGAAAGCGUGGGGAGCAGACAGG